Molecule: non-coding RNA, 22 nt
Filed under: Arabidopsis thaliana (thale cress)
Lineage: Eukaryota; Viridiplantae; Streptophyta; Magnoliopsida; Brassicales; Brassicaceae
Source: RNAcentral
UUGAUGUUUCAGAAAUUGCUGC